This 464-nucleotide ribosomal RNA is filed under the name uncultured bacterium. RNAcentral describes it as "partial 16S ribosomal RNA". It matches the Rfam family "Bacterial small subunit ribosomal RNA", at positions 338 to 795 of the family's 1533-position model. The record is from RNAcentral.
CCUACGGGAGGCUGCAGUAGGGAAUUUUCGUCAAUGGGCGCAAGCCUGAACGAGCAAUGCCGCGUGAACGAGGAAGGUCUUCGGAUCGUAAAGUUCUGUUGAAGGGGAAGAAGAGCGGAGAGAGGAAAUGGUCUCCGAUUGAUAUUACCCUUCGAGGAAGUCACGGCUAACUACGUGCCAGCAGCCGCGGUAAUACGUAGGUGGCGAGCGUUAUCCGGAAUGAUUGGGCGUAAAGGGUGCGUAGGCGGGUUGGUAAGUCUGGAGUGAAAGGUACGGGCUCAACCGGUACAGGCUUUGGAAACUGGCGAGCUAGAGAGCAGGAGAGGGCGGUGGAACUCCAUGUGUAGCGGUAAAAUGCGUAGAUAUAUGGAAGAACACCAGUGGCGAAGGCGGCCGCCUGGGCUGUUACUGACGCUGAGGCACGAAAGCGUGGGGAGCAAAUAGGAUUAGAUACCCUUGUAGUC